Molecule: ribosomal RNA, 255 nt
Filed under: uncultured bacterium
Lineage: Bacteria
Description: partial 16S ribosomal RNA
Rfam family: Bacterial small subunit ribosomal RNA
Source: RNAcentral
UACGUAGGGUGCUAGCGUUGUCCGGAUUUAUUGGGCGUAAAGGGCUCGUAGGCGGCGUGUCGCGUCGGGGAGUGAAAGCCCGCUGCUUAACGGCGGGUUGGCUUCCGGUACGGGCAUCGCUGGAGUGCGGCAGGGGAGACUGGAAUUCCUGGUGUAGCGGUGGAAUGCGCAGAUAUCAGGAGGAACACCGGUGGCGAAGGCGGGUCUCUGGGCCGAUACUGACACUGAGGAGCGAAAGCGUGGGGAGCGAACAGG